UACGUAGGGUGCGAGCGUUAAUCGGAAUUACUGGGCGUAAAGCGUGCGCAGGCGGCUUUGUAAGACAGGUGUGAAAUCCCCGGGCUUAACCUGGGAACUGCGCUUGUGACUGCAAGGCUCGAGUGUGGCAGAGGGGGGUGGAAUUCCACGUGUAGCAGUGAAAUGCGUAGAGAUGUGGAGGAACACCGAUGGCGAAGGCAGCCCCCUGGGUCAACACUGACGCUCAUGCACGAAAGCGUGGGUAGCAAACAGGAUUAGAUACCCUGGUAGUCCACGCCCUAAACGAUGCCAACUAGGUGUUGGGGAAGGAGACUUCCUUAGUACCGUAGCUAACGCGUGAAGUUGGCCGCCUGGGGAGUACGGUCGCAAGAUUAAA
Molecule: ribosomal RNA, 376 nt
Filed under: uncultured bacterium
Lineage: Bacteria
Description: bacterial SSU rRNA
Rfam family: Bacterial small subunit ribosomal RNA
Source: RNAcentral